RNAcentral lists this ribosomal RNA (490 nucleotides) under uncultured bacterium. RNAcentral's name for it is "partial 16S ribosomal RNA". It matches the Rfam family "Bacterial small subunit ribosomal RNA", at positions 30 to 507 of the family's 1533-position model. The record is from RNAcentral.
AUUGAACGCUGGCGGCAGGCCUAACACAUGCCAGUCGAACGGUAACAGGAAGAAGCUUGCUUCUUUGCUGACGAGUGGCGGACGGGUGAGUAAUGUCUGGGAAACUGCCUGAUGGAGGGGGAUAACUACUGGAAACGGUAGCUAAUACCGCAUAACGUCGCAAGACCAAAGAGGGGGACCUUCGGGCCUCUUGCCAUCGGAUGUGCCCAGAUGGGAUUAGCUAGUAGGUGGGGUAACGGCUCACCUAGGCGACGAUCCCUAGCUGGUCUGAGAGGAUGACCGGCCACACUGGAACUGAGACACGGUCCAGACUCCUACGGGAGGCAGCAGUGGGGAAUAUUGCACAAUGGGCGCAAGCCUGAUGCAGCCAUGCCGCGUGUAUGAAGAAGGCCUUCGGGUUGUAAAGUACUUUCAGCGGGGAGGAAGGGAGUAAAGUUAAUACCUUUGCUCAUUGACGGUACCCGCAGAAGAAGCACCGGCUAACUCCGUG